UGCAGGGACACUGGCUGUUUGGAGGAUCCCCUUCCUCUGUGCAGGGAUGAGGCCUGAUGCUCGGAGGAUCUCCUCCCUCUCAGCAGGGACACUAGCCCUUGGGACAAUCCCCUCCCUGUGCACAGGGACGCUGGCCAUUGGGACGAUUUCCUCCCUCUGCGCAGUGACACUGGCUGUUUGGAGGAUCCCCUCCCUCCGUGCAGGGAUGAGGCCUGAUGAUCGUAGGAUCUCCUCCCUCUGUGCAUUGAUGCUGGUGGCUGAGAGAAUCCCCUCCCUCUGUGAAGGGACACUGGCUGUUUGUAGGAUACCCUUCCUCUGUGACGGGAUGAGGCCUGAUGCUCGGACGAUCUCCUCCCUCUGCACAGCAACUUCGGCUGGUGUGAUGAUCUGAAGCACCAUGAGCUGUCCAUUUCCGAUUGAUUGUGCCGUGGCUGCUGCUUCAAGUUUCAGCACCACAAUGUAGAUGAACCUCCUUCUUAUUAGCUCUUCCACUCCCAAAGACCCAGCUGAGCCAGCCUCCACUGUUAUUGUGAACAGCAGGGGUCUCGGGCUCAGCCACCGGCCGGGUGCCAGUCUGGAACUGAGGGACACUGGCUGUGAGGAGAAUCUCCUCCCUCUCUGCAGGGACACCAGCCUUUGGGACGAUCCACUCCCUGUGCGCAGGGACGCUGG
Molecule: long non-coding RNA, 672 nt
Organism: Oncorhynchus nerka (sockeye salmon)
Lineage: Eukaryota; Metazoa; Chordata; Actinopteri; Salmoniformes; Salmonidae
Exons: 4
Source: RefSeq, a predicted model, not a curated record